Molecule: ribosomal RNA, 383 nt
Filed under: uncultured bacterium
Lineage: Bacteria
Description: bacterial SSU rRNA
Rfam family: Bacterial small subunit ribosomal RNA
Source: RNAcentral
AAUCAACGCUGGCGGCGUGCCUCAGACAUGCAAGUCGAACGCGAAAUCCCGAGCAAUCGGGAGAGUAGAGUGGCGCACGGGUGAGUAACACGUAGGUAAUCUACCUUCGGAUGGGGAAUAACAACCGGAAACGGUUGCUAAUACCGCAUAAUGCAGCGGCACCUAAUGGUGACAGUUGUUAAAGCGGGGGAUCGAAAGACCUCGCGUCUGAAGAGGAGCCUGCGGCGGAUUAGCUAGUUGGUAAGGUAAUGGCUUACCAAGGCAACGAUCCGUAACCGGCCUGAGAGGGCGGUCGGUCACACUGACACUGACAUACGGGUCAGACUCCUACGGGAGGCAGCAGUCGGGAAUUUUGGGCAAUGGGCGAAAGCCUGACCCAGCAA